GUUCAAUCCCUGGCUCUGCUCAGUGGGUUAAGGAUCUGGCGAUACCAUGAGCUAUGGUGUAGGUCGCAGAUGUGGCUUGUCUCCUGCGUUGCUGUGGCUGUGGUGUAGGCUGGCAGCCGUAGCUCUGAUUUGACCCCUAGCCUGGGAAUCUCCAUUUGCCAUGGAUGUGGCCCUAAAAAGCAAAAAAAAAAAGUUAACCCUUAUGAUUCUGCCCUGUUACCUCAGCAUUGGCCAAUCAGAGAAUUGUGCAUGAGCUGAUCACUUACCUUGAAACCCAGCUCCUUCACCUGGCUUAUAAAAAUGAUUUACCAUUGGGAACUACAUCUAGUCACUUAUGAUGGAGCAGGAUAAUGUGAAAAAAAAAAAAGAAUGUGUAUAUAUGUGUGUGACUGGGUCACCUUGUACAGUAGAAAAUUGACAGAACACUGUAAGCCAGCUAUAGUGGAAAAAAAUAAAAAUUAUUGAAAAACUUUAAAAAACAAAAAUGAUUCACAAUGUUGUUUGGAGGUUUUUUUUUUUCCUCACAAGCCAUUGUCAUCUUGCAUGGCCUGUAAUGAACCUUUCUCUGCUCCAAACUCCAAUGUUUCGGUUUAUUUAGACUUGCUGUGCGUUGGGCACACAGACUUGCAUUAAUAUUAUUAUAUCUAAGGAGCAAAUGUGAUGAUGGCAGACAUGAAAAUAAUUCCUGGGCGGAAGAGUUCCCAGUGUGGCUCAGUGGAACUGAACCUGAGUAGUAUCCAUAAGGAUGAGGGUUUGAUCCCUGGCCUGAUUCAGUGGGUUAAAGAUUGCCUGGGAACUUCCACACGCCACUGGUGCAGCCCUGAAAAAGCAGAAAACAACAGCAAAAGAAAUAAACAAACAAAAAAUGCUGAAAACUUCCUGGGUUACAGAGCCCUGAGUUAUCCUAUUUGCUAAUUCAUCUCCAUGGGGUGGGCUGGGUGCAUCCCCAGACUCUCAGUCCAGCAGUCGCUUUUGUAUUAUGUGGCCUGUGCUUCCUUGCAGCUCUAGGGAGGGGCUUUGGGCAAAGAGCAUCAUGGACCUAUAUCCCGUCUCCAAUCACUGGUGCUCCAUGUACUUCCUGCAGUUCUGGACUUUCCUGGUCCCCAUGGCAACUGUUAGGAAUCCAGCAUCAUGGCUGGCUUUGGGGUGUGAAACUCUCCCUCUUGCCUUGGCUCCCUCUUGGGUCCAGAUGGUUAUUUCUGCUUGCUCUGAACCAAGAGGUUUGGGAAAAGAAGAGCCCAAGGCAAAAGAAGAAUCCGAGGUAGUGGUUCUGAGCUAUGACUUGUGGAGUCAAGGUGGAGCCUGGUUGAUCCAGGAUGGGUUCAAAUCUCGGCUCUGUUGCUUGCUGGUCAUGCGACCCUGCAUCAUAUGGGUCCUUUGAGAAACAGUGUGCAAGAACUCAAUUAGGGGAAGGGCUAGUGUGAAAGAAGUCGGACAGUGAUGUGAGUCUGACCCUGAGUGAAGGAAAGAGAGAGAGGUUGCCUGGAAAUAUCCUCAUUGUGCAGCCUGAGAAACGGUGGGGCGUCCGCAUAGGCUGUCAGAGGAGCCCUAUGUUUUUUAGGAAUGAGCCUGCCUUAGUUCCCCCCACUGCACUUGUGAUCUAUGGGAUGCAAUGGGUUUCAAAUCCAGCAGGUGUAUUCUCAUAGUCACCACACCACCUGACAUCUCACAGAGCUGAUGCUGAAACCAAAACACCUCUGACUCUGAACCCAGCCUAAACCCAGAUGGGGGCUUGAACCCAAUCACUCAUUUGGUAUCUGGACUUACUGAGGCUCAGGUUCUUUGUGUCUCAGCACAGAAGGAAUUCAGUGAGAGGCAAAGCAAUGGGCAAGAAAUAGAUUUACUUAGAUAAGAUGCUUCUGAGACACACAAGCAGGCAGUGAGGAGGAUCUGCCUGAGGAUUAGGUGGGCUACAUUUUUAUAAUCCAAGGAAAGUGAGAGAGGGGGAAAAGGUCACUUCUUCCUCCUUCUUUGAGUAGAGGUCGGGCUUACAUCACUAGCUCCUCCUUUAUAUCAGGUAAAAGAGUAUUUGAACCUAUGAGGUCAAGCUGGACUGUCAUGGUGCUUAUUCAAAUCAGCAGAAGGGCAGUAACAGGUGCCAAACUAUGUUGAAUCAUCUCAGGUUUCUGUAUAAUGAGGGUCUCCUACCUUGGAAGGUCAUCCUUCCCUAAAAUUCCUGUACUUGGUCCUAAGGAUCCCUAUCUUGCUGAACUGAGUACAAGCCUCAUUUUAUCUUUCCCUUAACGACCUGAGGCAUAUCUUGUGCUUUUACUGAUAGUUUUAUAGUUAAGCAAGGCUGCUUUGUCCCAAGAUGUUCUGAUGGCUUUCUUUUUCUUUUUUUUUUUUUUUGUCUUUUUGCCAUUUCUUGGGCCGCUCCUGUGGUAUAUGAAGUUUCCCAGGCUAGGGGUCGAAUGAGAGCUGUAGCCACCAGCCUACGCCAGAGCCACAGCAACGCGGGAUCCAAACCGCGUCUGCAACGUACACCACAGCUCACGGCAACGCCGGAUCAUUAACCCACUAAGCAAGGGCAGGGAUCGAACCCGCAACCUCAUGGUUCCUAGUCAGAUUCGUUAACCACUGCGCCACGAUGGGAACUCCCCUGAUGGCUUUCUUGGGUGACUUUGAACUUACACUGGUCUCCCAAAGUUCUCCAGGUUUCCCUCUCUAUCUAUGGACCCUUCUUGGGACAGCUACAACUCCCUGUGUGACUGUCCUCCUCCAUCAAGGCGAUGAUCUGGUGAGACAAGGCAUGUAAAAUACUUCUGGCAGAGAGUAAGCCCUCAGCACAUUUUACUGUUAGUGUUAUCCAAAUGCUGUUAACCAAUACCCACAUAUUAUUAACCCGAUACACCCAUAUUUAUUAACAAAUAUUGUUUUUUCUUCUUUUUUUAAUACUCAAUAUACAUUUAUAGUUGUACAAUGAUCAUCACAAUCCAAUUUUAUAGGAUUUCCAUCCCACAACUCCAGCGCAUCCCCCCACCCCCUGAACUGUCUCCUUUGGAAACCAUAAGUUUUUCAGUCUGUGAGUCAGUAUCUGUUCUGCAAAGAAGUUCAGUCUGUCCUUUUUUCAGAUUCUACAUGUCAGUGAAAGCAUUGGAUGUUGGUGUCUCAUUGUCUGACUGACUUCCCUUAGCAUGAUAAUUUCUAGGUCCAUCCGUAUUGCUAAAAAUGCCAUUAUUUCUUUCCUUUAAUGGCUGAGUAAUAUUCCAUUGUGUAUAUGUACCACAUCUUCUUGAUCCACUCCUCUCUCGAUGGACAUUUAGGUUGUUUCCAUGUCUUGGCUAUUGAAGAGUGCUGCAAUGAACAUCGGAGUACAUGUGUCUUUGUGAGUCGUGGUUUUCUCAGGAUAGAAGCCCAGGAGUGGGAUUGCUGGAUCACAUGGUAGUUCUAGUUUUAGUUUUCUGAGGAAUCUCCAUACUGUUUUCCACAGUGGUUGCACCAGUCCCACCAACAGUGUACUAGGGUUCCUUUUUCUCCACACCCUCUCCAGCACUUACUGUUUGUUAGCAAAUAUUGUUAACAAAAAGAGUUUCCUUCUCCUUAUGUUACCAAGCAUUUGUUACAUCAAAGGCUGCUAUUAUCAUCAGAUUCCCUGUAAAUGAGUGUACAGGGUGUAAGAUAUUAGGGAGUAGAGGGGACUGUGGUAGACUAGACAGCCCCAUUUAAAACAGUUUGAAAGAUAGCCUGAUCCAGCCAAAGCAAACACACCUGUGACUUGAAUCUAGUCAAUGGCCCUCCAGGUUGAGACCUCUGCCUUGUAUGCACAUCAGCUGAUAUUGUGAUGUUGCACAAGCGAGGUCGAUGUCAUUAAGAUAAAACAAAAAUAGUUGGGCUGAUCCCCCCACCCCCACCCCCAUGACUAAUUUAUGAUGUAUUCGACCAAACUGAAAAGUCUGAAUUUUUUUUUUUUUUAAAGACCACACACAUGGCAUAUGAAGGUUCCCAGGCUAGGGGUCCAAUCGGAGCUAUAGUUGCUGGCCUACACCACAGCCACAGCAACGUGGGAUCCGAGCCGCGUCUGUGACCUACACCACAGCUCAUGGCAACGCCGGAUCCUUAGCCUACUGAACGAGGCCAGGGAUCGAACCCUCAUCCUCAUGGAUACUAGUUGGAUUUGUUUCCACUGCGUCAUGACAGGAACUCCCCUGAAUUGUUGACUUGGGGUUUUGUACCAGGCUUGUCUGAGAGGUUUCGAAUGUGGAUGUGGGGACCUGACCAGCGGGGGUUGGGAACCUGACCUUCCCCCUUUUCAGCUAGGGGAUCCUGGGCAAAUUAUGUGCUCUCUCUGUAUUUAACUCACUCUCCUCUUCUGCAAAAUGGGAAUGGUAAUGAUAUGUCCCUCAUAUCAUUUAGUGCAUGGAAAGAGCUUAGAACAGUGCCAGGAACACAGUAAGGCUGAAAAAGUAUUGACGUGAUUCUGGGGCUGGGGGAGGGAGAGAGAACAUGUCUUUUCUUCAUCCCUCUAUUUCAUGCAAGCCUAAAACUUAAUGAUUGGUAUAACACCCAAGGAGGAAUAAGUUUCUCUUACCCCGGUGAUAUAAUCACAUAUAAUAAUGCCACUUACAUAAGCAUCCUUACCUCCUUGUUAAAUCCGCCUACGCUGCUCCACUUCAUGCCCGUUAAAGAAUAUUCUCUCCCAGAGGGAAAAAGAUACCCAACUUUAUACUAAUUAUCACUUUAAAGCAGAGACCAGUG
This 4695-nucleotide long non-coding RNA is filed under the name Sus scrofa (pig). RNAcentral describes it as "lncRNA (ENSSSCG00060050410.1)". Lineage: Eukaryota; Metazoa; Chordata; Mammalia; Artiodactyla; Suidae. The record is from RNAcentral.